AAAAAAAAUCCAGUUGUGGUUGUCUUUAUGUGAAAAAUCAAACACCGAAAAUCUGUGACUGACGGAUCGAGCCGCACCUCGAUCGGCGCCGAAAGGCCACCGUUUAAUAGAGAGAGAAUUUUUUCUACGGAGACUAGAGAGAGAAAUUGGUGGAGCGUCUUUAGAGUUUAGAAAGAAUAAAAAUGAGACUGGUCCGAGAGAGAGGCCGCUGCU
This 213-nucleotide unclassified non-coding RNA is filed under the name Hevea brasiliensis (rubber tree). The record is from RNAcentral. Lineage: Eukaryota; Viridiplantae; Streptophyta; Magnoliopsida; Malpighiales; Euphorbiaceae.